GACGAACGCUGGCGGCGUGCUUAACACAUGCAAGUCGAACGGAAAGGCCCUGCUUUUGUGGUGUGCUCGAGUGUCGAACGGGUGAGUAACACGUGAGUAACCUGCCCUUGACUUUGGGAUAACUUCAGGAAACUGGGGCUCAUACCGGAUAUGAGCUCCUUCUUCAUGUUGGGGUUUGUAAAGUUUCGGCGGUUGGGGAUGGACUCGCGGCUUAUCAGCUUGUUGGUGGGGUAGUGGCUUACCAAGGCUUUGACGGGUAGCCGGCCUGAGAGGGUGACCGGGCACAGUGGGACUGAGAAACGGCCCAGACUGAUACGGGAGGAAGCAGUGGGGAAUAUUGCAAAAUGGGCGGAAGCCUGAUGCAGCAACGCCGCGUGCGGGAUGACGGCCUUCGGGUUGUAAACAGCUUUAGCCUGUGAAGAAGAGUGAGUGACGGUAAUGGGUAAAGAAGCAACGGCUAACUACGUG
RNAcentral lists this ribosomal RNA (468 nucleotides) under uncultured bacterium. Its description in RNAcentral is "partial 16S ribosomal RNA". It matches the Rfam family "Bacterial small subunit ribosomal RNA", at positions 28 to 507 of the family's 1533-position model. The record is from RNAcentral.